CCUACGGGUGGCUGCAGUGGGGAAUAUUGCACAAUGGGCGCAAGCCUGAUGCAGCCAUGCCGCGUGUGUGAAGAAGGCCUUCGGGUUGUAAAGCACUUUCAGCGGGGAGGAAGGCGGUGAGGUUAAUAACCUCAUCGAUUGACGUUACCCGCAGAAGAAGCACCGGCUAACUCCGUGCCAGCAGCCGCGGUAAUACGGAGGGUGCAAGCGUUAAUCGGAAUUACUGGGCGUAAAGCGCACGCAGGCGGUCUGUCAAGUCGGAUGUGAAAUCCCCGGGCUCAACCUGGGAACUGCAUUCGAAACUGGCAGGCUAGAGGCUUGUAGAGGGGGGUAGAAUUCCAGGUGUAGCGGUGAAAUGCGUAGAGAUCUGGAGGAAUACCGGUGGCGAAGGCGGCCCCCUGGACAAAGACUGACGCUCAGGUGCGAAAGCGUGGGGAGCAAACAGGAUUAGAUACACUGGUAGUC
Molecule: ribosomal RNA, 465 nt
Filed under: uncultured Klebsiella sp.
Lineage: Bacteria; Pseudomonadati; Pseudomonadota; Gammaproteobacteria; Enterobacterales; Enterobacteriaceae
Description: bacterial SSU rRNA
Rfam family: Bacterial small subunit ribosomal RNA
Source: RNAcentral